Molecule: transfer RNA, 73 nt
Filed under: Paramuricea clavata
Lineage: Eukaryota; Metazoa; Cnidaria; Anthozoa; Malacalcyonacea; Plexauridae
Rfam family: tRNA
About the family: Transfer RNA (tRNA) molecules are approximately 80 nucleotides in length. Their secondary structure includes four short double-helical elements and three loops (D, anti-codon, and T loops).
Source: Rfam by way of RNAcentral
GCCGAAAUCGCUCAGAAGGCAGAGCGUCAGGCUGAAGAUCUGAAGGUACCUGGUUCAAUCCCGGGUUUCGGCA